GAUGAACGCUGGCGGCGUGCCUAAUACAUGCAAGUCGAGCGAACAGACGAGGAGCUUGCUCCUCUGACGUUAGCGGGGGACGGGUGAGUAACACGUGGAUAACCUACCUAUAAGACUGGGAUAACUUCGGGAAACCGGAGCUAAUACCGGAUAAUAUAUUGAACCGCAUGGUUCAAUAGUGAAAGACGGUUUUGCUGUCACUUAUAGAUGGAUCCGCGCCGCAUUAGCUAGUUGGUAAGGUAACGGCUUACCAAGGCAACGAUGCGUAGCCGACCUGAGAGGGUGAUCGGCCACACUGGAACUGAGACACGGUCCAGACUCCUACGGGAGGCAGCAGUAGGGAAUCUUCCGCAAUGGGCGAAAGCUUGACGGAGCAACGCCGCGUGAGUGAUGAAGGUCUUCGGAUCGUAAAACUCUGUUACUAGGGAAGAACAAAUGUGUAAGUAACUAUGCACGUCUUGACGGUACCUAAUCAGAAAGCCACGGCUAACUACGUG
This 497-nucleotide ribosomal RNA is filed under the name uncultured bacterium. Its description in RNAcentral is "partial 16S ribosomal RNA". It matches the Rfam family "Bacterial small subunit ribosomal RNA", at positions 28 to 507 of the family's 1533-position model. The record is from RNAcentral.